This 303-nucleotide ribosomal RNA is filed under the name uncultured bacterium. RNAcentral's name for it is "partial 16S ribosomal RNA". It matches the Rfam family "Bacterial small subunit ribosomal RNA", at positions 507 to 807 of the family's 1533-position model. The record is from RNAcentral.
AGCAGUAGCCGCGGUAAUACGUAGGGUGCAAGCGUUAUCCGGAAUUAUUGGGCGUAAAGAGCUCGUAGGCGGUUUGUCGCGUCUGCUGUGAAAACCCGAGGCUCAACCUCAGGCCUGCAGUGGGUACGGGCAAACUAGAGUGCGGUAGGGGAGAUUGGAAUUCCUGGUGUAGCGGUGGAAUGCGCAGAUAUCAGGAGGAACACCGAUGGCGAAGGCAGAUCUCUGGGCCGUAACUGACGCUGAGGAGCGAAAGCGUGGGGAGCGAACAGGAUUAGAGACCCCGGUAGUCCCUGUCUCUUAUAC